CGGAGGAGGAGCGACCAGUUUCGUGUAUCGAUUACAAGUGAGAGGCUUAAGCAGAGACACAUGGAACGUAUUAGCAAUUCUCAUGUGCGCAGGGAGCGCCAAAGAAUAUGUCACGGGGUUAAUACGUCGAAGGACAUGAUAAGGCCCCAUGUAUUGAGAAGACAGUUUAAUUGAAGGCACUUUGAGCUCCCACUUGAAAGACAGGAUUGGCACCACACCGCUUGUCAGCCUGGACUUUAGUACGUCUAGAGGCUGCUUGUAAUGCCACAUGCACCGAAGCCCACGUGUCUCGGACAGAAGCUAAUAUCAGGAAUAUCAGUGCCCAAAAAAUCAGAAGGCAAUACAGUGGGG
Non-coding RNA from Pelobates cultripes (western spadefoot toad), 351 nucleotides. The record is from the annotation of a GenBank genome assembly. NCBI's taxonomy places the organism in Eukaryota, Metazoa, Chordata, Amphibia, Anura, Pelobatidae.